ACUAUCUGUUCUCCCGGGAGCACAGCCAGGCCUGUCGCCAACAAGGCUUCUGCAUGAUGUGCAUCAUGGAAGCGCAUGUUAACAAGGUCCUGCGUUCAGUCAGUGCCAUCCUGCCUUGGGCUGUUCUCAGGGUUUUCAGAUUCAUAGGAGAACAUUUUCAGCUUGGCAGGGAGGAAG
This is a long non-coding RNA of Pseudopipra pipra, 177 nucleotides long. RefSeq lists it as uncharacterized. NCBI's taxonomy places the organism in Eukaryota, Metazoa, Chordata, Aves, Passeriformes, Pipridae. The transcript has 3 exons. The record is from RefSeq and is a predicted model, not a curated record.